CAUAAAGUGACACAAUAACCCUGUGUUUAGAUAAUCAAAACAAACAGAUAUACUAUCCAACUUUUUAUAUCCUUAAGACCUCAACAUGAAAAUCUAAUCAUAGCUGCAAAGAUUGGUUGUGGUUUGUUGCCAAAAGCAGUGCCCAUGUCCCACCCUAGCCCCUAAGUCCUGAGAUGACUCUGAUGAAUGCAGUGCAAUCUUUUUUAUAACUGUUUUGCAAUGAUCUAUUUUCAGAGAGGAUACUUCUCAUUCCAUUUAUUCCCAUUUUUCACCUUUCAUGACGCGCUGUGCAGGACAACUGUGAAAAUAAGCACAGACCUCUCUUCUGGUUGAUUGCCAAGUGAAAAUGUGAACCUGGACUCAGUGGAGCUUAUGUGCCUGAGAAUCUCAUUCCCUCCAAACAGUGGUCAAGGAAACAUCUUCCCUGGAGACACCAAGCAGCAGACACUGUGUUUUAAAGUGAUUUAAAACAAAAACAGAGGUUCCUCUAUUUGACCACCAAGUUCAACUGAAUACAAAUACUUUAAAUCCAAACAAGCCCUCCAAGCUUCCAGGAAACGGUUCCUCCAGAGGUGAAACAGCAAGACCAGAGACUGGAGAGUCAGAACAGACUUGUCCCUUCUUGUUUGCUUACCACUGUUACCAGCGUUGCCCAGUUCACUCCAUCACUUUGGCAGUGACAGUCAGAAAUUUAUAGCAGAAAUGAUCCCAGGAACCAGCAUGUUCAAUUCCAUUAGAGAUGGACUUUUAAGAUCGCCUUGGUGCUCUUCUUUCUGGUCACUAACUGAGCUCCCUGCCAAUGGGACGCACAAAGAACUGGAUGGCCAACCUUCAGAAUGCUGAUCAGUGGCCUGGCUGUUGUCCCCACAGUAGUCUGCAAAAUCGAUCCCAGGAGUUUUAUCAAUGGCUUGAAUAGUAAUGGCAUCGGUAAUGUACUAAGCCAGGCGUCAAUGUCAAGAAGGUGAGAUGCUAGCUAAAAUCUUUCCACAGACAAAUCGGAGCUCAAAAAGAUCUGAAUAAACACACCAAGGAGAUCACUGAGGGUGCCUUGGCCUGAUGCAUAAGAUGAGGGGAGCUCGGUACAUGUGACAAGAAUUGGGGCUUUUUGUUGACUGAAGAUUCAGUGCAAGUCAUUCAUAUGAUGUGUUUGUCCUGAGUGCGUGUCAAGGAAUCUUCUGAUACUCUCUCUUAGCUCCCUGUGCAGAAUCCUAUUACAGUGCUUAUCUCUCCAACUUUCGAUUGCCUGUCUUUCCUCUCAUAUUGUAAGCUCCUUGAGGGCAGAGGCUAUCUGUUCCUUUUUUUGUUGUUUUAUUUUUAAUCCAAAAUCUCUCAUAAUAUAUAACCAUUGUAGGAACAUAAUGCCAACUAUCCAAGUGAAGUGGACUAUAGCUUCCAACUACAAAACUCACAACUAUUUAUAAUAAACCAAAAUGAAGUUAUCCGAAUAUUUCAAUACCACACAUAUUGUAUUAAAGAUGAAGUAAGUAAAGUUCUUGAAUCUGAUGCUGUAAGAAGACACCAAUGAACUGACUAUAAGGGAUCAAUGUGCUCUUAGAGGU
This is a long non-coding RNA of Heterocephalus glaber (naked mole-rat), 1559 nucleotides long. The record is from Ensembl. Lineage: Eukaryota; Metazoa; Chordata; Mammalia; Rodentia; Bathyergidae.